UCCCCAGUGGUCAGCAGCUCAGAACACCCCAGACCAAGUUAGCAAUGGCGAAGCGCCUCGCCGUCGCCCUCCUGCUGCUGGUCCUGCUCGCGUCCAGCGACGCCGGUGCUGCUGCCCGUGCUGCUAUUGGCGUCGGCGAGAAGAAGGCUCUGGUGCCCGGGCUGCCGGUGGACCUCCCUCUCCCUGGCCUCCCCGGGCUGCCUGGGCUCCCUGGGCUCCCUGGGCUGCCGGGGCUCCCUGGGCUCCCUCCCGUUCCCAAAUUGACGGCCACCAACAAGUCUCCAUGAUCGUCUGUGGUGUACGUGCUGGCUAACAUGCAAGCUGAAGCUGAACUACUUGUGGGUUUAGACUUGCAGCUGUAGCACGUACCGGCCGGAAGAAAAUCACCGGCGCUUCGCUCAAGCGUCUGUACCAACUACUAUCUUUGUCGUGUGUAUUUCCGUUCAGUUAAACCAUCGUGUGUAUUUCCUUUCAGUUAAACUAUCGUAUGUAUUUCCUUUCAGUCCACGUAAGUAUGGUUGGUACAUGGGUCUACUUGUAUGAGGCUGAAGUCUUCAGCCUAUAUGCAUUAUUGCGAUACACAGAGCCAUACGAACAACUCAAAUGGAAGCAUGGGUCUUUGACGGCACACAUGUGCCUGGCUAUACCGUGGUGAUCGACGGCAGCUGCCGUCUCCUAACACGUACCCGCGCCGACGACGCGCUGCCGUGCCGCCCUGUGCACCUUCGUGCAAGUGACAUCAACCAAAACUCGCCUAUAAAAGGCAGCGUACACACGAUGCUAAGCCUAAGCUGACUCAAACGCAGCCACACAACACCAUCUCCUCAGUACAUCAGAGCCUCCCAGUUAGCAAUAUGGCAAAGUAUCUCGCCGUCGCGCUCCUGCUACUGGUGGUGCUCGCGUACUGCGACGGGAGGGAGCUGAACCAGAAGGACCAGGCACUCGCAACGGCACGCGGUGCUGGUGCGGGUGCUGGUGGUGGCGUCGGCGAGGAGAAGAUUUUGGGGUUGGCAGAGUUGCCGCUUGUGGGAACUGUUACCGGUACCAGCACAGUUACCGGUCCGGUGGUGGUGGUUCCUGCCCUUCCCGGGAUCCCUGCUCACCCAUGAUCAUCACCAGUUCAUAUGCUGUCUUACAAGAUGAAGCUGAACUAGUGGGUUUAUGACUUCUAGCUAGCACCGUCCGGAAGAUAAACACCGGUGUUUCGCUCAUUUUCACGUUCCUUCAUGAGCGUCUGUAUCAACUAUCCUAUCGUCUGUAUUUUCUUUCAGUUCAUGUUCUAGUAUUUUCCGUUCCUCUGUAUUUUCUUUCAGUUCAUGUUCUAGUAUGAUGUAUCGUCAACCUAAUAAAUACUACUUUGUCAUCAUGAGUACCUUCUUGGAUACAUAUAGCAGCUUGCAUCAUCGAUUUACUACUUCAUCACUUGAUCACAACGUCCAAACUCCUGAGUUUUUUUUUUGUUUUUUGUAUAAAGAGAGAGAGCUUCCUCUCUGAUUUUCAUUAAUAGAAACCACAGUAUCUUGUUAUACAAACUACUAAGGGCAAGCAGAAAUACUAGGAAACGACGACACAUGAUCUGAAGGAGCAAAAUGAGAUAUACCCAUCAGCCCCCAAAGACCACAAAGGCUAUAUCCGAAAGAACACCGAUAUCCUACAGCCCACCAUACUCUGGAGUUGUUCUGGUAAAAGAAAAUGACUAAAGUUUUGGAAUUCGUUUUUACUGGCAUGUAUAUUUAUAUUUAAUUUGAGGCAAGCUGGUAUGUCUACAUAUAGGAUAUAUCAAAGCGUUGUCAAGGUGAUCAAACAAAUGAUAAUGGAAAAAGUCUAAAACAAACCCUGAACUCGUGGAGAAAAGCUAAAUGGAACCCUGAACUCCUAAUCCCUGAAAUCAGCACACUCAACUCACUAAUCCCGGUCUAAAUUAAACCCUGAGACCGUUUUAGAGCUAAUUUGCUGACGUGGCAGCGAUUUCACCAGGAUUCUGACUUGUGGGCCACGGAGAGGGAGUGUUGACCACGCAUUUGGAUAGAGAGAGGGGAAUCUGAGCUCAUUGUUAGGUUUACGGCGACGGCAGAGGCGAGGGGGCGNNNNNNNNNNNNNNNNNNNNNNNNNNNNNNNNNNNNNNNNNNNNNNNNNNNNNNNNNNNNNNNNNNNNNNNNNNNNNNNNNNNNNNNNNNNNNNNNNNNNNNNNNNNNNNNNNNNNNNNNNNNNNNNNNNNNNNNNNNNNNNNNNNNNNNNNNNNNNNNNNNNNNNNNNNNNNNNNNNNNNNNNNNNNNNNNNNNNNNNNNNNNNNNNNNNNNNNNNNNNNNNNNNNNNNNNNNNNNNNNNNNNNNNNNNNNNNNNNNNNNNNNNNNNNNNNNNNNNNNNNNNNNNNNNNNNNNNNNNNGGAUUCCGUCGAGCUAGCGGAAGGAGGGAGGCUGAGACGAGGUCGCCGGUUCCAUACCGCGAGGGCGCCAUGGAUUACGAGCCACCGAAGCUCUGCCAUUGCAAUCCGCCAAGGAAGGCGCCGAGGUGGAUAUCGUGGAGCCGGCAGAACCCCGGCAGGAGGUACUACGCCUGCGUCCAUGCGCUGGUGAGCUCCAUUUUCCCCUCCAUUUUCCAUCUGCAAGUGUCUUUCUUCUGCCACUGCUUUGUUAAUCUGAUUCAUUCCUUUGUGUUCAUUUUGAUAGAAUGGUGGUUGUUGGUUUAUUGAGUGGCAUGAUGAUCCACUGCCCAAGUUUUUUUUCUGAUCUGAUUGGAGAUUUAAGAGAUGAAGUUUGGAGACUGAAGGGUGCUAGGACUGAAGAUGAAGUUGAAGAGCAAACAAUGACUGAAAGUGUGAUUCUGGCUCUGCAGGAACAGUUGAAAGAAAAAAGUGCUGAGAUAGAUGCAGUGAAGAGCAAAUAUAAGACAAUUCUGGUUGUGUUUGCUGUAUUUGUGCUAGGUUUAGUGCUAGGAAAAUUUCUAGUGCACUGAAUAUAUGGUCAGGUUGAUCCUUGUAUGGAGAAGGAGAAUGGUUGGUUAGUGUCAGUUAUUGCUGGAACUAUGUUGAUCCUAGUAAUGAAGUAUGUGGCUGGAACUAUGUAGAUCUAUGUUGAUCUAGUAAUGAAGUAUGUGGCUGGAACUAUGUAUGACAUGAUGAUCUAUGUUCAUCCUAGUAAUGAAGUAUGUGGCCAUUGUGGCAUUAUCAUCCAAUUUGUGCAUUUGCCUUGUUGCUUGAUUCCUAUCUUGAAUAAUGAGCAUAGUUUUGUUGACAAAUGACACAAUUUAUGACAUGAUAUGUUGGCAGGAGCAUCUUUGCAACAACACAAAACUGGAUAUGUUGACAAAUGACCAAAUAUUUCAGGCAUUUUCAUUUCAGACAUAAUAUUCCUGUUUGCAACAACACCAAAAGGAUUCAAAUGUUUGCAACAGGAAAUGAUCUAUGAUCAUGACAAGCACAUAGUUCAGUGCAUACUAACAGGAAAUGAUCUAUGAUCACCAAAAGUAGUUUUCAUUACAUGGUCACUAGCAUAGAAGACAUGCUCUGCUCAUUGCCACUAGCAUUGAAGUACUUAUAGAUUGGUAAUGAAGAUGUUGCAGCUCUCUUCCUCGUUGCCAGCAGAUGUUCCAGCUUGUGCAGUUGGAGUUGUUUUCUUGGGAGGUUUAAACUUUGAAGCAGUUCCAGCAGUUCCACAAGUUGGGGCUGAUCUUGCUGCUGGUUGAGAAGUAGGUGCACUUCCAGCUUGUGUAGUACCAGCCUGCAGUAGAUCCAUGUAUUAAUUGACAGGUACUAAACUCAUCUAAAAUUAUUUGAAGGCAAGUUAAAUUACCUCAGUGCUUUUUCUUUUCUUGGUUGCCUUUACAAGAUGUGCAUUUUUUCUUGCCCUUCUCUGGAUUCUUCUUGCAACCAGACUUGUUGUGGCCUUCAGUGCCACACAUUGAACAAACAAUAACAGUGCCAUGUUUGCUCAUUUUUUUACCAACUGGUUUCUCAUGGUAUUCCCUCCUCCUAGCAUUUUUCUUGGGCCUGCCUGGCAUUCUAACUUUAACAUAAUCAGGAGCUUCUGGCCUAGGUUUUUCAGAAAUAGGCCACAUCUCCUCACCUUCCACAGGUUCCAAGCAAUGCUCAUAAAUGCUCAUGAAUGUGUCAAUGCUAUAGCAAGGAUCAAUGUAAUCUUCCACUUGUUUCCCACACUUGUGUAUUGCUGUUAUGGCAUGAGAACAAGGAAGACCUGAAAGUUGGAAAUAACCACAAGAACAAGUUCUUUUUUCAAGACUUAUAGUGUAUUGCCUUCUUCUCUUAGUUACCAGUCUCACUUCAAACCCAUCUUUGCCAUUCCAAAGGACCUCCAUGAACUGUAUUCUUGCUAUGCUGGCUUUCAACUUUCUGAAUAUGCUAGGGCAUAUUUUCCCAUGCAAUUUCACACCUUUGGCCCUUUGUUCUUGAAUUCUAGCAAAUAUUUUCUUCCUUAUUUUCUCUAGCAUGGAAAUUAUUGGAUAAAACCUUGCAUCCACAAUUGCAUGAUUGAAUGAUUCACACAAGUUGUUAUCCACUGACUAACAGUUAGAACCAACUGCAAAAUAUGCCCUUGCCUAGUGCACUGGUUCUGUUCUCAUGAUAUCUUUUGCACCCUCUGGUGUUUCUUGUGCAAGCUUGGCUUUAUAAUAAUUGAAAUCUUGGAUAUUUGCUACUUUGGCAACAACCCAGAAUUUCUUCUGCCACUCAUGUGCCCUGUGUUUCUUCCUCCAGUUGGCAUAGAUGUGCCUAGCACACAUCCUGUGCUCUGCUUUUGGAAGAUAGUCAUUCAUGGCAUUGAGAAUUCCCUUUUGCUGGUCAGAUAUGAACAUACAGCCAUCUCCAUUGUUGUUAAUGUUCAAAUCUUUAAUGAGCAAACCAAUGAACCAUUUCCAUAUCUCAUUUGUUUCCUGCUCAACUACUGCCCAAGCCAGUGGAUACAUUUGAUUAUUUGCAUCCCUAGCUAUAGCACACAACAGUUCCCCCUUCACAACCCCUUUAAAGAAACAACCAUCUAAUCCUAUCACUUUUCUACAGCCAGCUUUGAAUCCUAGCUUGAAUGCAUUAAAGCAAACAUAAAAGCUCUGAAAUACAUUGUUGAUAUUGUCAGUUGGAUCCAAACAAACUGCCACUGUACUUCCAGGAUUACUUCUAAGAAGCUCAAGCUGGUAAUCAAACACUCUGGUAUAUUCAUUCUUCAUGCCAUCUAGCAAUUUAUCCAUCACAAGCUUCUUUGCAUGCUUGCACUUUGAGGUGGACACAUCUGCAAACAUAUCUUGCAAUACUGUUGCUUUCAUACUCUCUAUCUUCCACAUGGGAUUUGCAAGAAUGAAGUGCUCAUACCUCUGUGCAAUAACCUUUGCAGUCACUAGCCUAUUCUCUCUGUUUUGGGCAUAGUGAUGUUCAUCAUUAUAUGUGAUGACUUUGAAUCUGCUUGUCCUGCUGGUUUUUGCUGCAUAUAUCAUCCAAGGGCAUCCAGGCCAUCCACACUUGGCUCUAACUCUAUUUAUCUCUGACUUUUGGAACACAAUGCUUCUUUUUGUCACUAGCCCAUAUCUCUUCAAAGCUUUGACUAGCUGGUUCUUGCUUUUGAAGACCAUUGACAACUAGAAGUUUGGAAUUUCACUGUCAUUGUUGAAUCUAGGAAACUGGCUCUUCAUCCUCUCUGGCUCUCCAUCAGAAUCCUCACCAUAGGAGUAAUCCUCAUUAGAUGAAUCAAAGUUCCACUCCUUCUCCUCUCCUUCUAGCUUCUCCAUAUUUGCAAUCAAAUUUAUUAGAACUGCUUCACUUGUAUCUCUUUCAAUCCAGCCUUUUGUUUCUCUCAUCCUUUUCUUGAAUUUUCUUGCAUGCCUUCUAGGCUCUACCACUUCUGAAUCUUCACCACUGUCCUCACUGUGUGGCAUAUAUUCAGUGUCAGUGUCAUCAUCUGAACCUUCACUGUCAACAUCUGGAUUUGUUUGUGGAGGAGCAGCAAUUGCUUGUGAAGUACCAGCCACAUGUUGUGAAGUAGCUGGCAUAUGCUGUGAAGUAGCAGGACCAGCUUGACUUGGAUUGCAAAUUUGUGACACUGCAAAUUCAUCUUAAACUAGCUCACUGUCAACUACAUUAGUUCUUCCCCUUCUCUGCUUCACUGGACUAACAAUGAUUUGGGAGAUGACCCCUGUGUCAUCAGGAACCAUGAUAUUCUGAACAACUUGCACUUCUUCACUGUCAGUAGCUUCAGCAGCGACAUUCUCAACAACUUGCACUUCUUCUUCACUGUCAGUAGCUUCAGCAGUGACAAUGGCAGGUGGAGCAUCACUUAACUGCACAAGUUCAUCCUCAAAAUCACUGCAACUGCUGCUGUCUGCACUGUCCUGUUCCCCAUGGUACUCAACAUAAAUAUGUGCAACAGCACCAACACAAAUAUAAUCCCCCAUCUUCAGACAUUUACUGUCAUCAUCCAAGAACACCAAACCAUCAACCAAUUCAGUCCCAGGAAUAUGAAAGUAGAAUUUCAUUGAUUCCUUCAGUUCCAUAUGAUCUUUCAAAAGCCCUUUGACCUCCUGCAAAGAGAGCUUGUCUCUCUCAAUCUCUGACAACCCCUCAUCACCCCCAACAUAGUCCAACUGUCGACCAAUUCGGAUGAAAUCCCCUCCAAAAUGAAACCUAACAUUUAGUAUCUCUGUUGGGUCCAUGUUGUAACUGAAAAAAGAAGAAAAAAGAACACACAGAUCACUACCUUGUGCUAGUACGAACUAAAAUUAGAAACUAAUCUAAACAUCAGAACCUACUUUUUCCCACUUAAAAGAUGAUCCUUUUCACCCUAAAACCCUAACUCAUCCAUGUUCAGAGAGGUCAAAAUGCCAAAUGCGGCGCCAUAGGAGGAGGUCUUCGGGGACAUACCUUAACCCGUUGCGUGCAAUAGCGCGCCGGCUAGAUCAUCGUCGCUGGAGCAGAUCAACCGCCUGUCGCCAUUACCAUCGCCAGAGCAGAGAGGAAGACAGGGGGCGGCUCCUCGACUCCUACGGUGGAUGGGCUGGACUCCUCCUCUCUCAACUGGUAAAGUGCUCGAUCUGGCGCAUUGGGCCGGCCCAACUUGAUCGGACCCAAGCGCCAACUCUCUCUGUUUCGCCAAAAAAAAAUGAAAUCCCGGCCAGACUGUUUGGAACGGUCUCAGGGUUUAAUUUAGACCGGGAUUAGUGAGUUGAGUGUGCUGAUUUCAAGGAUUAGGAGUUCAGGGUUCCAUUUAGCUUUUCUCCACGAGUUCAGGGUUUGUUUUAGACUUUUUCCAAUAAUAAUAUCCCAACAGCAUCAAACGAGCAGUAGAGAUGUAGGGCUUAUGUGCACAUAUCCAAAACCACGAAAAUAAGGGAAACUCCAUGAUACAGGUUCUAUGAAAUUAAAUACAUGUUUUAACAACCUUUCAUGUUCUUCUAUGAUGUAUUUUGAGUCACUAAACCGAGCAGUGUAGCAAUCCAUGUCCGCUUGAUCAAGCAUCCAUUGAUCAGAAUAGAAUUCGAGGCGGUGCCCGGGGCGAAUUGCGUGACAAAGUUUGAUCCCAAGGUAGACGAUUGGUAAAAUGAAUAGUAUUCGAACUUUAAAAGGUAGGAGUAUGUAUAUAGAAAAAUUAAGAGAUAUUUGGUGAGUAUCGAACUAUUUUUGUUAUGUGAAUAAAAUACUUGCCCUUUAACUAAAAAUGGUAGUGUGAUACGUCUCCGUCGUAUCUACUUUUCCAAAUACUUUUGCCUUUAUUUUGGACUCUAACUUGUAUGAUUUGAAUGGAACUAAUCCGGACUGACGUUGUUUUCAGCAGAAUUACCUUGGUGUUGUUUUAUGUGCAGAAAGCAAGUAUUCUCGGAAAGUCCUGAAACUCCACGGAACACCUUAGAAAAAAUAAUAAAAAAUCCUUGCCAAAGAUGAAGACCAGGGGGCCCACACCCUGUCCACGAGGGUGGGCCCCCCCCGCUCUAGGGCGCGCCCCCAUACCUCGUGGGCCCCCUGGAAACCCUCUGACGCCAAUUCCAACUCUAUAUAUUCACUUUCGGAGAGAAAAAAAUCAGAGAGAAGAAAUCAUCGCAUUUUACGAUACGGAGUCGCCGCCAAGCCCUAAAACCUCUCGGGAGGGCUGAUCUGGAGUCCAUUCGGGGCUCCGGAGAGGGGGAUUCGUCGCCAUCGUCAUCAUCAACCAUCCUCCAUCACCAAUUUUAUGAUGCUCACCGCCGUGCGUUAGUAAUUUCAUCAUAGGCUUGCUGGACGGUGAUGGGUUGGAUGAGAUUUAUCAUGUAAUCGAGUUAGUUUUGUUAGGGUUUGAUCCCUAGUAUCCACUAUGUUCUAAGAUUGAUGUUGCUAUGACUUUGCUAUGCUUAAUGCUUGUCACUAGGGCCCGAGUGCCAUGAUUUUAGAUCUGAACCUAUUAUGUUUUCAUGAAUAUAUGUGAGUUCUUGAUCCUAUCUUGCAAGUCUAUAGUCACCUACUAUGUGUUAUGAUCCGGCAACCCCGAAGUGACAAUAAUCAGGACCACUCCCGGUGAUGACCAUAGUUUGAGGAGUUCAUGUAUUCACUAUGUGCUAAUGCUUUGUUCCAGUUCUCUAUUAAAAGGAGGCCUUAAUAUCCCUUAGUUUCCAAUAGGACCCCGCUGCCACGAUAGGUAGGACAAAAGAUGUCAUGCAAGUUCUUUUCCAUAAGCACGUAUGACUAUUUACGGAAUACAUGCCUACAUUACAUUGAUGAGUUGGAGCUAGUUCUUUGUCACCCUAUGUUAUGACUGUUACAUGAUGAACCGCAUCCGGCAUAAUUAUCCAUCACUAAUCCGGUGCCUACAAGUUUUCCAUAUACUGGUUCUCGCUUAUUUACUUUUCCGCUGCUGUUGUUACAAUCACUACAAAAUACCAAAAACAUUACUUUUACUGUCUUUACUUUUGUUGCCGCUACCACCAUUAUCAUAUUACUUUGCUACUAAACACUUUGCUGCAGAUACGAAGUUUCCAUGUGUGGUUGAAUUGACAACUCAGCUGCUAAUACUUGAGAAUAUUCUUUGGCUCCCCUUGUGUCGAAUCAAUAAAUUUGGGUUAAAUACUCUAACCUCGAAAACUGUUGCAAUCCCCUAUACUUGUGGGUUAUCAAGACCUUUUUCUAGCACCGUUGCCGGGGAGCAUAGCUCUAUUCUUUGAGUCACUUGGGAUUUAUAUCUGCUGGACACUAUGAAGAACUUGAAAGACGCUAAGACAACAAUUUAUCCCUCAACUACGAGGGGAGGUAAGGAACUGCCAUCUAGCCUUGCACUUGAUUCACCUCUGUUAUGAGUAAGCUAGCGACACCUAAACCUGCUUCUGUUAUUUGUUCUGAUAUGUCGCAUGUUAUUGAUGAUGCCACUUCUACUAUGCAUGAUACUUAUGAUGAAACUCCUUCUAUGCCUGAUACUAUUGUGCCCCUUAGUGAAUUUCUUGAAGAACAAAUUGCUAGGGCUAGAGAAAGAGAAAUUGAUGAAACUGAAUACGAUGAUGAUAGUGAUGAUGAAAAUAUGCCUAUUAUUCCUGAAGGUUAUCUUUUUGACAAAGAUUCCUCUUUAGCUAUUUUAGCCUGCAAAGAUAGAUAUGAGCUUAAAAGGUUAUUGAUUAAAUGGAACAAAGAAUCACUUAGAGAUAAAAUGACACCUGAUCCUGCUUUUGCAACUUCGCCUAUAUGUGUUCCUGAUAAGGAUUAUGAAUUCUCUGUUGAUCCAGAUAUAAUUACUUUGGUUGAAUCUGAUCCUUUUUAUGGCUAUGAAUCUGAAACUGUUGUGGCACAUCUUACUAAGUUAAAUGAUAUAGCUGCCCUGUUCACUAAUGAUGAGAGAUCGCGUUACUUCUAUAUACUCAAAAUAUUUCCGUUCUCAUUAAAGGGUGAUGCUAAGAUAUGGUUUAAUUCUCUUGAUCCUGGUUGUGUGUGUAGUCCCCAGGAUAUGAUUUAUUACUUCUCUGCUAAAUAUUUCCCUGCUCAUAAGAAACAAGCUGCUUUGAGGGAAAUAUACAACUUUGUGCAAAUUAAAGAAGAGAGUCUCCCACAAGCUUGGGGGAGGCUUCUCAAGUUACUUAAUGCCUUGCCUGAUCAUCCUUUUAAGAAACCUGAAAUACUUGAUAUCUUUUAUAAUGGACUAACUGAUGCUUCCAGAGAUUACCUGGAUAGUUGUGCUGGUUCUCUUUUCAGGGAAAGAACACCGGAUGAAGCUGAAAUUCUAUUGAAUAAUAUGUUGACAAAUGAAAAUAAUUGGGCACCUCCUGAGCCAGCUCCUGCUUCAAUUAAUGAUCCUAUUCCUAAACCAACUCCGAAGAAGAGAGGUGUUCUAUUUCUCAGUCCCGAAGAUAUGUAAGAAGCAAAGAAAUCUAUGAGAGAAAAAGGUAUUAAAGCUGAAGACGUUAAGAAUUUACCUCCUAUUGAAGAAAUACAUGGUCUUAAUAUACCGCCUGUUGAAGAAGUAUACGAUUUGAAUCCUUUAUUUAUUGAAGAACCUCCCGAUAUCCCGACGCAGGUAGUAAAGGUAAAUUCUCUCUAUAGAUUUGAUGAAGGUGAUAUCCCUCACUAUAAGUCUGCUAGGAAAUGCUUUGAUGUGUUUGAUAACUUUAUUGUCAAACAAGAAAAUUUUAAUGCUUAUUUUGGUAGACAAUUGAAAUAUGAUUCCGAUAUGCUUAAAUACUUGGGUGAUUAUAUGGCUAAUAUUAAAGGUGAGCUUAAACUUGUUAUGAAAUAUGCUUCUAUGGUUACCACUCAAGUAGAACAAGUACUUAAAGCUCAAAAAGAAGUGCUUGAUGAAAUGAAUAGUAAGAAAAAUGAUUAUGCUGUUAGAGUGGCUACUAGAACUGGUAGAAUGACUCAGGAACCUUUGUAUCCUGAAGGCCACCCUAAGAGAAUCGAGCAAGAUUCUCAAAGAAAUAAUAUUGAUGUUCCUAGUUCUUCUAAAAAGAAGAAAAAGAAAAAUGAUAGAAUUGUGCAAACUUCUAGUGAACCUAUUGAUGAACCACCAGAUAAUCCAAAUGAUAUAUCUAUGUCUGAUGCUGAAACACAAUCUCGUAAUGAACAUGAACCUAAUGAAAAUAUUAAUGAUGAUGUUCAUGAUGAUGCUCAACCUAGUAAUGAUAAUGAUGUAGAAAUUGAACCUGUUGUUGAUCUUGAUAACCCACAAUCAAAGAAUCAACGUUAUGAUAAAAGAGAUUUUGUUGCUAGGAAACAUGGUAAAGAAAGGGAACCCUGGGUUCAGAAACCCAUGCCUUUUCCUCCUAAACCAUCCAAUAAAAAGGAUGAUGAGGAUUUUGAGCGCUUUGCUGAAAUGAUUAGACCUAUCUUUUUACGUAUGCGAUUAACUGAUGUGCUCAAAACAAAUCCUUAUGCUAAAUAUAUGAAGGAUAUCAUUACUAAUAAAAGAAAGAUACCGGAAGCUGAAAUUUCCACCAUGCUUGCUAAUUAUACUUUUAAGGGUGGAAUACCAAAGAAACUUGGAGACCCUGGAGUACCUACUAUACCUUGCUCCAUUAAAAGAAAUUAUAUUAAAACUGCUUUAUGUGAUCUUGGAGCCGGUGUUUGUGUUAUGCCUCUCUCUUUAUAUCAUAGACUUGACUUGAAUAAGUUGACACCUACUGAAAUAUCUUUGCAAAUGGCUAAUAAAUCAACUGCUAUACCUGUCGGUAUUUGUGAGGACGUGCCUGUUGUGGUUGCAAACGUUACUAUUCUAACGGACUUUGUUAUUCUUGAUAUUCCUGAGGAUGAUAGUAUGUCUAUUAUUCUUGGAAGACCUUUUCUUAAUACUGCAGGGGCUGUUAUUGAUUGCAACAAAGGCAAUGUCACUUUUCAUGUUAAUGGUAAUGAGCAUACGGUACACUUUCCGAGGAAACAACCUCAAGUUCAUAGUAUCAACUCCAUUGGAAAAAUUCCAUCGAUUAUAAUUGGAGGUUUUGAAUUUCCUCUUCCUACGCUCAAAAAGAAAUAUGAUAUACUUAUUAUGGGGGAUGUGCAUAUCCCCGUUGAGGUAACUUAGUGUUAUUCGAAAUUUCUCCUGUUUCAUGAUUAUCGGAAUGAUUUUGUUAACAAGACUUGAUCAACCUUGUUAGUGGAUUCUUUUUGAUGAGCAUAAGAUGGAUGAAACUAGAAGCACAAACUUCUGUACCCUCUUUAUAUUUUCUGUAAUUUAGUAGAAAUAAAGUAAAAAUAGUAUUUUUCUAUCUGUUUCCUGACUUAUCCGUGCAAUAUAAAAAUAUCCCGAAAAUAAAAGUCCUCAGAAUGACAUGCCAAUUUAAUAUGAUUUUUUCUUGAAUAUUUGAGGAUUUACUGUGCAAAAAUUACCACGGGAGGAGCUGCCACCUGGGCACGAGGGUGGUGGGCGCGCCCCCCUCCCUAGGGCGCGCCCUCUUGCCUCGUGGGCCCACGGUGGCCCUCCUCCACUUAUCCCAGCACCCAUCUUCUUCCUCUGCCUCACACAAACCUGAAAAACCAACUCAAGCACGAGUUCCAGCCACUUUUGCUGUGAUUUUCGAUCUCCUUGCUCAAAGCACCUCUCGCAAAACUGCUUUGGGAGAUUGUUCCUUGGUAUGUGACUCCUCCAUUGGUCCAAUUAGUUUUUGUUCUAGUGCUUUAUUCUCUGCAAAUUUGUGCUGCAUAGGUGACCAUGUUCUUGAGCUUGCAUGUCAUAUUUCUAUGGUUCCAAGUAGUUCUAAUGCUUGAUAUAAGCUCUAGACACUUGUAGGAGUAGUUGCUAUCAGUUUUAUGAAGUUGGCUUACUUUUGUUUGAAGUUACUAAAAAUUUCAGAAUUUUUCAGAGAAAAACAAUAUGCUUAGGAAGAUGUUCCAAGGUGGUUCCUCUAAGAAGCAAGGACCCAGGAUUGCUAUGCGCAAUGCUGACGAGGAUCCAUCAAGAGACGCUCCGGUACGGCCUUGAGAAUGGCCAUCGGAGAAUUUUAUGGACCGUGCGGGAAUCAAAGGAGAAUUCAAAGCAUAUUUGCGCAAUGCCAGUCUUGAGGAAUUUGAGGCCAACAAAUGCCCCCAGUAUCAUGAUCUCACAAGUUCAUUUGUGAGGAGGUUUGAGUAUUCAUCUUCGCGUAAUUCUCCUUCAGUCAUGUUUGAUCUUUAUGAUAAAUCUUAUAGAAUGGACUUAGAGGAUUUCAAUCUUGCUUGCAAACUUCCAUCAUGGGGUAGUAUUAGGGAUCCCCCUAAAUCUGAAUUUAGAAACUUUCUUGCUGAUAUAACUGUGGGGGAAUCUAGAGAUAUAACGCAAGCUACCAUAGGGAGCAUUCACUUUCCUGCUAUACAUUAUUUUGCUUUCUUCAUCGGUAGAUGCAUAAAUGCUAAGGAUGAAGCAUGUCACAUGUGUGUCCCUGACCUUAGCAUUCCUAGGAGUGUUGUGUUAGGAGACCAAUCUUAUCAUCUGGGAGCCAUUGUAGCUCGUAGGUUGCAUCAUAAUAGACAUAAUGGAGAUUUCUUUGGAGGAAUUUAUGCAACCCGUUUAGCUCAUUUUCUUGAGAUAGACAUCCGUGAGGGUGAUACGGAGUUGCCCACUGCAUAUUUAGAUUAUGACUCCAUGGCUUCACAUCAUUUUGUUGAGCGACCCGAAUCACCUCUUUUAUACCAUUUAAUUUUUAACAAACGGCAUGUUGUCCAUAUUACUCUCCCUGCUCCUGCUCUUUUUGAUUCACAGACAAAAGGAAGAUAUACUAUUACUAGAGAGGAGGCAGAUGAGUACGAGAGGAGAGCGGAGGCAGCCCGACUCCACGCUGCAGCUCAGGAGGCGAUAACUGUUGUAUCACAGUACGGCCCCAGCUACACCUACGGGUAUCCGCCAGGCCAUCCCUGGCAAUAGACCAACUUAGGCCAAAAGCCUAAGCUUGGGGGAGUACAUAUUUCUCACCGACAUUAUAUUUAUGUUCACACACACUCAUUGCUAGAUGUCGGUGUUCAUACUCUUUCAUUGUAAUAUCCAUGCUAGUUUAUUUUCUUUUUCCUGCUUUCUUCUUGUGUGUUUGUUAAACCUUAAGAAAACCAAAAAAAUUAGUAGUAAUUUACUUUUCUGCUGUAGUGGUAGUAAUUAAAAAGAAAACCCAAAAAUAUUUCCCGUUCUUCUUUUGCUUGUUGGGAGCUUUCCCGUGUAAAUAGUUUUAUUUUCUUUUCUUUUCUUUAGGGGUCAGUAGGAGAAGACCAUGAUUAAAUUGUUGUAGUGGCUCUUAUAUGUAUUAUUCUUGAAAUUAACCAAAGAGCCCAUAUUGCCAUGUCUUCUCCUGUUUAUUGAAUGCUCGCAGAUUCCAGCUUAGUCCAAUGCACGUGCACUCUUAUUAUUAUUCACACCAUUCGGUCGUGCAAGUGAAAGACAAUUAUGAUGAUAUAUGAUGGACUGACUGAGAUGAGAAAAGCUGGUAUGAACUCGGCCUCUUUUGUUUUUGUAAAUAUGAUGAGCCAAUCGUUCUUGAUUCAGCUUAUUAUGAAUAAACAUGUUUGCAAUGACAAUUAGAGAUCAUAGUUUCUUGUGCCAUGCUUGAUUAGCUAUGAGUUAUAAUGGUUUACCUUGUGUGCCAACAUGCUAUUGAGAUGAUUAUGAUGUGGUAUGAUGGGGUGGUAUCCUCCUUUGAAUGAUUUGAGUGACUUGACUUGGCACAUGUUCAAGCAUGUAGUUGAAACAAAUCAACAUAGCCUUCACGAUAUUUAUGUUCAUGGUGGAUUAUAUCCUACUCAUGCUUGCAUCCAAUGUUUAUUAAUUUUAAUGCAUGUACAUGGCUGUUGUCGCUCUCUAAUUGGUCGCUUCCCAGUCUUUUGCUAGCCUUCACUUGUACUAAGCGGGAAUACUGCUUGUGCAUCGAAUCCCUUAAACCUCAAAGUUAUUCCAGAUGAGUCCACAAUAUCUACCCAUAUGUGGUAUCUACCUGCCAUUCCAAGUAAAUUUGUAUGUGCCAAACUCUAAACCUUCAAAUAAAUAUUUUGUUUUGUAUGCUCGAAUAGCUCAUGUAUCAACCAAGGCUGUCCUUAUCUUCCGUGUUAGGCGGGUUAUUCUCAAGAGGAGUGGACUCCGCUCCUCACUCACGAGAAAAUGGCUGGUCACCGGGAUGCCCAGUCCCAUGCUUUAUGCAAACUAAAUCAAAAUUAAUUGCAAACAAAACUCCCCCUGGGACCUGAUGUAUGUUGGAGACACUCGUUGUUUCGAGCAAGUCAUGGAUUGAUGCUUGUUGGUGGAGGGGGAGUAUAAACUUUACCAUUCUGUUUGGGAACCGCCUAUAAUUUGUUUAGCAUGGAAGAUAUCGCCAUCUCUUAGUUGCUAUGUUGACAAUGAAAGUAUACCACUCAAAAUGCAAUUUAUCUCUAUUUCAAAACCGAGCUCUGGCACCUCUACAAAUCCCUGCUUCCCUCUGCGAAGGCCCAUCCAUUUACUUUUAUGUCGAGUCAUCACCCUCUUAUUAAAAAGCACUAGCUGGAGAGCGCAUCUGUCAUUUGCAUUCAUCAUUGUUAAUUUAUAUUGGGUAUGACUAUGAUUGGAUCUCUUUUACCAUGAAUUACAAUGUCUAGUCAGUCCUUGAUCUUUAAAGGUGUUCUGCAUUAAUGUUUUGCGGUCUCAGAAAGGGCUAGUGAGAUACCAUCUUGUUAUAUCAUAUUAUGAUUGUUUUGAGAAAGUGUUGUCAUCCGAGAUUUAUUAUUAUGGCUUGCUAGUUGAUUAUGCUAUUGAUAUGAGUAAUUAUGAGACCUGAGAAUUAUUGCAAAUAUGGUUAGUUAUGAUCUAUGCUGAAAACCUGAAUGCUGGCUUGACAUAGUUACAACAACAAGAGCAAAUAGAGUUUGUAAAAGUUUUUCUUUCUUUCUUUCAGUUUGUCAACUGAAUUGCUUGAGGACAAGCAAGGGUUUAAGCUUGGGGGAGUUGAUACGUCUCCGUCGUAUCUACUUUUCCAAACACUUUUGCCCUUGUUUUGGACUCUAACUUGUAUGAAUUGAAUGGAACUAACCCGGACUGAUGCUGUUUUCAGCAGAAUUACCUUGGUGUUGUUUUAUGUGCAAAAAGCAAAUAUUCUCGGAAAGUCCUGAAACUCCACGGAACACCUUAGAAAAAAUAAUAAUAAAUCCUCACCAAAGAUGAAGACCAGGGGGCCCAUACCCUGUCCACGAGGGUGGGGGUGCCCCCCCUCCAGGGCGCGCCCCCUACCUCGUGGGCCCCCUGGAAACCCUCCGACGCCAAUUCCAACUCUAUAUAUUCACUUUCGGAGAGAGAAAAAUCAGAGAGAAGAAAUCAUCGCGUUUUACGAUACGGAGCCGCCACCAAGCCCUAAAACCUCUCGGGAGGGCUGAUUUGGAGUCCGUUUAGGGCUCCGGAGAGGGGGAUUCGUCGCCGUCGUCAUCAUCAACCAUCCUCCAUCACCAAUUUCAUGAUGCUCACCGCCGUGCGUGAGUAAUUCCAUCGUAGGCUUGCUGGACGGUGAUGGGUUGGAUGAGAUUUAUCAUGUAAUCGAGUUAGUUUUGUUAGGGUUUGAUCCCUAGUAUCCACUAUGUUCUAAGAUUGAUGUUGCUAUGACUUUGCUAUGCUUAAUGCUUGUCACUAGGGCCCGAGUGCCAUGAUUUUAGAUCUGAACCUAUUAUGUUUUCAUGAAUAUAUGUGAGUUCUUGAUCCUAUCUUACAAGUCUAUAGUCACCUACUAUGUGUUAUGAUCCGGCAACCCCGAAGUGACAAUAAUCGGGACCACUCCCGGUGAUGACCAUAGUUUGAGGAGUUCAUGUAUUCACUAUGUGCUAAUGCUUUGUUCCGGUUCUCUAUUAAAAGGAGGCCUUAAUAUCCCUUAGUUUCCAAUAGGACCCCGCUGCCACGGGAGGGUAGGACAAAAGAUGUCAUGCAAGUUCUUUUCCAUAAGCACGUAUGACUAUUUACGGAAUAUAUGCCUACAUUACAUUGAUGAAUUGGAGCUAGUUCUGUGUCACCCUAUGUUAUGACUGUUACAUGAUGAACCGCAUCCGGCAUAAUUAUCCAUCACUAAUCUGGUGCCUACGAGUUUUCCAUAUACUGGUUCUCGCUUAUUUACUUUUCCGCUGCUACUGUUACAAUCACUACAAAAUACCAAAAACAUUACUUUUCCUGUCUUUACUUUUGUUGUCGCUACCACCACUAUCAUAUUACUUUGCUACUAAACACUUUGCUGCAGAUACAAAGUUUCCAGGUGUGGUUGAAUUGACAACUCAGCUGCUAAUACUUGAGAAUAUUCUUUGGCUCCCCUUGUGUCGAAUUAAUAAAUUUGGGUUAAAUACUCUACCCUCAAAAACUGUUGCGAUUCUCUAUACUUGUGGGUUAUCAUAGUGGCAGGAUUUUUUUGUCUUCUCAAUUGUUUAUCACUCCCUCUAUAUCUCUCCUUAUCUCUCAUUUUUACUUCUCCUCCACCUAUCCUUCAGAAUUCAUACAAAGUUCCUAUAAAUCAAAAGAGGGCAAGAGGCCUAAAGCAUGGUUUAAGAUCCAUAAACUUUGAAAGGGGAGGGGGUUAGAGCAUCUCUAGCAGACCCUGUAAAAAGCCCUGACCCGCAAAAUAACCGCCAAAAUGUGGGUCGGCGCAGAAAAUUCCAUCCGAACAGGCCCCGCAAACGCGUCCGGCACGUAAAUAUUUUUGCGGGGCGCGCCAAAAUUUCGACCCCAACCCGCGAAUAAACGCCCCCCCGGCCCGUCGGCGCCUUGUAUAUAGCAAGAGAGGUUGGUCAUGAGGACAUUUCAACCCGCGCUUUUCCCCACCUACCACCUCCCCUCUCCCCCUCGCCCCGCCGCCGGGCCGCCGCCCACGAAUCCGGCGACAGUAGCAUGCGGGAUCAUGCCGAAAGGCCGCCACACGCCCGAGGUUGCCCUCUCCGCCACCCCCUCCUGCGUCGGCGGGCCAGAAAGUUGCAGAUCUGUGGCCGGUCAUCGUGGGUGGCAGGAUUUGGCUUUUCCGGCCGCCGGUGGCUGCGCCAAGCGAAGCACCCUAGUAGCCCUGGCAAAGCCCCAUCCCUGCAUGCAGGUACGAGUUCGUCCUGUCGUCGCCGCCGACGGUUUGCCGGUGUGGAUUCGGCCGGCCGGCCGCCGGGCUCGGUGCUCGCCCAACGGCUCUGCAGCUCGCCGAUGCCGCUCAUACGGUGCGACAACUGCACGCGGACAAUGCUACGACUAACUUCGGGCACGCCGAAGCACCCCGGGUGGGUGUUCGUCAAAUGCGAAAAUGACUGGGUAUGCAUUGUUUUCAUGCGGCUUUGGCACCGUAUUCUUUGGUUCAAUUGCGAUAGCUCAUUUCGAACAUCGUCAUGUGUGUAGGAAGAUGGAUGCUCAUUUUGGUUGGGAAGGAGAAUACAUUGAUUUAUUGAUAGAAAGAAACAUAAUAGAUGUUCUAGCACUCCUUAGUAGAAUCGAAGCUAAUGAUGCAGCUGCAUGUGUAAUUAGAGAAGCAAGUAGAGGGGAAGCAACGUCUACUUCUUUGGAACCAAAGAAGAAGAAUGAAGAAUGCAAAAUGAAGAAUCCGCAGAUCAACAAUGAAUGCAUGGAGAAGAUAUUGGUCCAACUAGUGGGAGCAGUUAUGUAAGUUGGAUAUCUUCUAAAAUGCAUAAUUGUGGUUCUUGUUUUUUUUGGUCUUACUAUUCUAGCAAAGAUUUGGUGAUGUCUAGACAUGACUGAAAUGUGCGGACAUGACUGAAAUGCUCGAGAAGUAAGUUAAAUCGAUCAUUAUCGCACCAUAUCAGCAACUUUGUUCAUUUCCUGAUAUCAAGUAAUUGUUUUUCUUUGUCUAGCAGGGUUUGGACAAAAUUCACUAAAAAAGCUCCGGGACUGCCGAAGAAGCUGCAAUUUAGACAUCCGAAAGUAAGUACUACUAGCAUGUUCCGCGCAUCUCCUAGUGAUUCAAGCGCUAGUUUCAUCAAUACCAUUUAUAGCAUGCUUGCUUAUCAGUUUGAUUGACCUCUAUUUCUUGUAAAGUUGUUGUGGCAGGAAGCCGGGAAUAAUUAUUGUGGAUACUACGUUUGCGAGUUCAUCCGCCACACGACCUGUGAGCGGGGCUACUCUGACGAACAAUAUGAAGUGCGUAAGCAAUAAUAUUCACAAUUUUAUUUUAUUACCAUCAUUUGUGUUGAGUUUGAUUUAUUCAUAUAUAUAUAUAUAUAUAUAUAUAUAUAUAUAUGUGUGUGUGUGUGUGUGUGUGUGUGUAUUGACCCCCUUCUUCAAAUUAGAUCUUUCGGAUGCGGGAUGAACUCCUACCACCAGAUCGUAUGCGAGCAAUUCAAGAGGAAUUGGCGGCAUUCUUCCUUGACCACAUGAUCGCUAAAGACGGAGAAUACCAUGUGGACCUUGAGAACAUAUAUAAUUAGGAGAUUAUAUUGUAAGAGAUAAUUAUAUUGUAUAUAUGUAGCCAGUAGUGUCGGAUAGAUAUACGAGAACUUGUUGUUCGACCAAUCUCUCUGAGAAGGAGAGGUGAUCGAUCACUUCUCUCUGUAUGCAUAUGUUCAUGACGAUCUUCUGUUUCCUUCAUUUGCUUACUAGCUAGUGUGUCGAGUCCUCUCUAUACGUAUAAUACGUAGCGUACGUCGACCAAGCACGGCGAUAAGAGAGGACACUUCUCUCUAUUAAUUAACUAGAUAACACAAUAUAUGAAACACCUAAAUUAACCCCCCAAAACCCCUAAACCACCCCUUUAAAAAAACCUCAGCUCCUGCCAGCUGCUGACGCGUGGACGCAUAUUGGUCCCGAUUUGUGCCACCAACCGGGACCAAAGGCCCCCCUGCCUGGGCUUGUCGCAGCGGCCACGUGGAGGCCCAUCUGUCCCGGUUCGUGUAAGAACCGGGACUAAAGGCCAAGGGCAUUAGUAACGACCUUUUAGUCCCGGUUCCAAAACUAGGACAGAAGGCCCUUACGAUCCGGGACAAAUGGCCCUUUUUCUACUAGUGUCUUAUGUAUCCAAUUCCGUUGAAAAAACAAAGAAAUGUAUUAUCUUGUGUCAAAUUGAAGUGCAAAUUUCAGAUUUGCGACAGCGACGCAAGAGCAGAACCCGCAAAACCGACCCAUAAAAGAGCAUCCGCGAAUAUCCUUUUAUACGGGUUCGUUUUGCGGGGUCUGUCUCUGCGGCCGCUCGCGUCGGCCCGCAAAGCCAUUUUUCCGCGAACUGCAAACGCGUUUUGCAGGUCGACGUUAUACGGGGUCUGCUAGAGAUGCUCUAGUAAAGCAAACCUUUGUAUUGCAAUACAUGCAGGAGUAGGGUCAUUAUUCCGAGGAGUCCCAACCUAUCAAAGAUCUCGCGAUCUUGGAUAUACCUCGGCAAGACCUAAAAAUUCUUCCAGGUUAUCGGUGGCGGCCCCCUGAUGGAACGAUCAUCAAAAUAAACACCGAUGCAGCAAUUCAUUUUGAUGGCGGUAGUGGUGGAGCGGGCGGGGUGGCUCGCUCAGCGUGUCAUCUCUUGGGAGCUUGGAGCAAACCCCUAGUGGGUGUCACGGAUCCUCUUAUAGCCGAAGCCAUGUCUGUUCGGGAAGGCGUGCGCUUUGCGAAGCUUCGAAGCUUUCAAGAGGUGAUCAUAAAAAUAGAUUGCCUAGAGGUUAUGGAACUCUGGAAAAAUCUGCACAAUUCCUUUUCGGUUGUGGCACCUUUGCUUUCUGAAAUAGGAGAGCCAGUUGUUGUUUUUUCUUUUUUUGAUAUUCAUCAUGUAAUCCGGUCAGUAAACUACCCAUCUCAUCUUUGUGCCAAGCGUGCUUGCACACUGAGUAUGACUGAAAGUUAGCUAGAAGAGAUCCCCAGCUUCCUGGUGAGCAUCCUAUUGGCUGAUGAUCUAGCGAAUGCUUUUGUUUGAAUAAAAGCUCUCAUUAUUGCCUGAAAAAAAACCUAUCAAAUCCCUUGUCCACAUAACCAAUAUUUUUUGUGGACUUCGAAAAUCACAAACCUUUAGACAGGGCUGCACUCACGCAAAACUUUUGCAUCAAUCUCAAGUCUACAACGGAAGGUGACCCCCACCCUCACAGGUCUUGGGAAGGUUUUAGACCUUCCUCGAUCGGAUUUUUCAGUGUUUUCUUCUACCGUUUUUUUACUUUUUUUUAUUUUUUUCUCCUUUUUCCCAUUUUAAAUUCAUUAAUAUUUUUAAAAACUCAUAAACAUUUUGGGAAAUACAGGGAACAUUUUUUUAAUUCGAGAACUUUUGUCAAAUCAGUAGACAUUUCUUAGAUUCUGAAUACUUUUUAAAAUUUGUCUAUCUUUUUUUAAUUGAGGAACAUUUUAAAAUUUGCCAACAUUUUUUCAAAUACGUAAAACAAUUAAGUUGAUGAACAUUACUUUCUUUCAAACACCUUUCCAAAUUUGUGGAUAUUUUUAUUAUGGUCGACGUGCAGCCACGACCUGGCGACACCAUUGUUGGUCAUUUGCCUGCCACAAGCUCCAAGGCCAAGUCCUUGGUUUUUGCCCUAGCCGGCCCGUCCGAGCCCAGAUCGGGCCCAAAUAGCUUGCGCUUCCCGUGACAUCCACCACACGGCCACCACAUCGUGUCACCGUGCAGUAGCACAAGUGCCUCUAGCGCACACUCAGGUAGGCCAGAUCUAGGCCCGAGGCGUGGCAGAGUACGGUGGUGGAGAUGGUGAUCCUAGCUGGCGUGCUCACUGGGAUGGUAACAAAUACAAGAUGGUGGAGGUGGUGUCCUGUUGCGGUUGUGCAUGUUGACAGGUUGUGAGUGGCGGUGCAGAGGGUUUGGGCCCCAACGCCUAGAUCUGCAGUUGGUUGUAGCUUCAUCGGGCGCGUGGGUGAGGGAAGGGGUGGAUGAUGACGAUGCUCGCAAGCAUUUGCUUCCUUCUUGAAGGCGGUAUUGAGGCGACAUGCUCACUCAACUCCGAAGAAACCUCAUAUCCUCUAGGGUAUAAGAUGAUGACAACGAGUGUGUCAAUCCUCUUAGGGCAUCGUCUUAGGAGUGGCUACCGGUUGGAGGGACAAGUGGUAGGCCAUGGUCGAUGUUGACAGUGUUUAUCGAGUGGUUGGCAGGCAUGCUGUUUUCAUUUGAAGCCAGGUUAGCGAGUGUGGUCCUUCUUGGGUUACCUCGUUCCCAUACAACACACCUCUCUCUCUCUCUUUGAGGGAUGUUGUAGGGUGGCAACCAAACGACCAACACUGAAGGUGUCCGCCUUGCUUGGUUAGAUGAUGAUGGAAGCUGAAAACCUUCUUCCCCUUGUUGAGUCUUGUUAUCCUUGAUUCCAAGUUCCUAAUCUUCUAGGUUGUGGUGUUUUACUGGUGUUGAUGUGGCAUUGUUGUGGUGCCAUUAUGUGUUUGUGUGAUCAGUCUGGACUUUGUACUGUGUUGUGUUCUUCUUCAUCAUGAAUGACAUGCAACGCCAUUGCUUCUCGUAAAAAAAAAAUUGUUCCUGCUAAGCCUAACCACAUCUUUUGAAAUUAUAGUGAAACACACCACUACAAAUUAAGGAUGUGCUACUAGAUUCUCCUGAUCUAGUCAAGAGUUAGAGCAUCUACAAUCAGACCUCUCAAACUGUCCCGAAAUGUUCAGUCACAUGCGCCAGAUAGAAUUUGGCCCACACAGCUCACCUUUUCUGUUUCUUCAUUCUUUCUUUCUUUUCUCCCUCUUCCUCUCCAUAAAUUGACCGAACAUAUGGAGAAAAGGUGGGAGACAUGACUGUGUGCAUGGACAAAUAGGGACUCAAAUCGAACAUGUCCAGACAUUAACCAGCACUAGUGCAGAAUCGGGUAAUAGCACCGGUUCGUAAGGCCCUUUAGUGCCGGUUCCAUAACCGGCACUAGAGUGUGGGCACUAAAGCCCCCCCCCCUUAGUACUGGUUCAGCACGAACCGGUGCUAAAGGGAAACCACGUGGCACGAGCCAGCUCCGGGGGCCGGGAGCCCUUUAGUACCGGUUGGUAACACCAACCGGUACUAAAUGUUUGUAGGUUUUUGUUUUAUUUUGUAUUUUUCAAUUAAAUUUGUGUUACCAAUUUAAUUUAGGAUUUUUUUACGUUAUAAUGAAUUGUAGUCGUCAUCAUCAUCAUCAUCAUCAUCGCAUAUUAAUAAAUAAAUAAACUCUAGCUAGCUAAAAAUCAUCAUAGUCGUCUAAUUACCACUAUUUAAUCAUCAUAGUCAUUACCGCUAGCUAUCUAAUCAUCACCAACACUGGCUAGCUUAAAGAGGAAACAUUCACUUUGUAACAGAAGCAAAGAUAUCAUCGAGUUCAACAUAAUCAUCACCAACAUCGAAGUUCAGGACACGGACAUGAGACACUAAUUAAGAGCAUGAACUAGUGCUGCUCCCUCUCAGGUAGAAUAGCAUAGAACAUGUAUAGCUCUCCUGAUUCAUCAUACUGGAGCAUGCAGAUUAAUCUGUCUCCUAAUCUUGGGUUGCGCUUCUCCUUACUGCCCCCUAGUACUUCUCUGCGAUCGUUAACAAUUUUGCUCCAACUUUCACUAUUAAGCAUUCUUCGCUUUCAGAAAUCCUGAAUGCACUCAUGUGCAAUGUAGGAUAUCUUGGCCGUAAGCUAACCAUUGACAUGUCACCUUUAGUCUCGAUCCAGUGAGGCACAACUGUCAUCGGAAGUCCCUGUUGAAGAACAUCGUAUAGUAAUUAAUAUACUAAGCAAUGAAAAUUUAGCUUCAAAAAUAAUGUAUGCAAAAGAUGCACUAAUUAAGGACAAAUAGUUAAAAUCUUACCAUUUUUCGAUUAUAGAUGUGACCGUAAUUCAAUACGAUCACCAUUGGUCGCACAUUUUGAGUACUAACAUUUCUAAGUUCAGGAAAAAAAUUGUCUUGACAGUAUUAAGAUCCUCAAGCCAUGAAACAUAAUGACUUAUCUCCUCGCAGUUUAGUUGAGCCCCGGGGCAGUAGUAGGUCCUGUCUACCAAGCGCCGGACAUGUUUGCUUGAACCGAAAUAAGCUGACAAUACAAAUUAGUUGUCAACUAUUUUUGAAUAAACUGUAUCAAAGACAUAAACAUAUGCAUGCAUGGUUGAGAAAAACACACAUAAUGGUAGAACUGAAGGCGUUUGCACAUCGACCCAGAUGUCUAUAUUACCUUCAAUAUCAUCUUUCGGACGAAUAUCAAAGGUGACAACCAUACCAGGCUCAAAUGCAUAAGCCUUGCAUAGUGCUUGCCAAGUUUUGCAUUCAAAAUGGGUGUAUGUGUCUCCAUUAUAUAAUUUGACGUUGAAAGUAUACCCAUGUUCCGUCUUCAAGUAAACUCUCUUUACCUCCAUACCAUCUAUAGCACUAAAACCUAUCUUAUCCAAGACAAAAAUUCUUGCAUGGCAGGGGAUGCAUUAGUAGAAUAGUGAAAAUUUAAAAUUAUAAGUUGAAGCAAAUGAAGCAUAAGUUUUGCAUUCAAAUAAUAAUUGACAAAGUGACUUACUGUAUCAACUUCGAAUGUCUCAUCCAGCUUGAUGCUGAAGCGCCUAACAUCAACAAGGAAAUUUCUGUCGCACAGGCCGCGCUGGUCUUCACAGUGUUCGCACAUAAUGAAAUCUUUUUCGUCGUCAGAUGACAUUUCCUAUGUUCAUAUAGGUGAAACAUUAAACACCUAUUACUAUCUAACAUUAAUUAAUAUCUAGCCAAAUAUAUAUUCAUCUAACAUUUGACAUUAAUAUAUCUAAUUAUAUUCAUCUCUAACAAUUGACAUUACUAUAUAUUUAACUUUUCUAUCUAAUUCAUCUAACAUUCAACAUUAAUCUAACAUUUAUAUAAAAUCAAAAUAUAUAAAAAAUUAAAUAAACAGAAAAACUCAUUAACAAAUAAUAUUUUAAUUAGAUCAUCAAAUCUCAGAUACCUAAAUUUUCUUACUAAAAAUAAACUAGUUAUAUUAAUUAUUGAACUAGUUCAAAUCUCAUAUACCUAAAUAAACUAGUUAUAUUAAUUAUUGAACUAGUUCAAAUCUCAUAUACCUAAAUAAACUAGUUCAACAAUUUUCUUACUAAAAAUAAACUAGUUAUACUAAUUAUUGAACCAGUUCAAAUCUCAUAUACCUAAAUAAACUAGUUCGAUAAUUUUCUUACUAAAAAUAAACUAGUUAUAUUAAUUAUUCAACUAGUUCAAAUCUCUAUAGUUCGACAAUUUUCUAUCUAGCUAAUUCAUCUAACAUUCGACAUUAAUCAAACAUUAGAUCAUCUAAUUAACUUUUCUAAAAUACAGAAAAUAAGUAAAAAAAAUGUGUGUGUGUGUGUAUGUGUGUGUAGUGUGUACGUAUAUAUGUGUGUGUAUGUGUGCGGCCCCGUACGCCGCCGCCCCGUACGUACGAGCGGGGGCGCCGACAUACGGGACGGGGGCGGCGGCGUACGUACGGGCGGGGGCGCCGCCGUACGGGCCGGGUACGACGACGAUGGACGGCGGCGCGGCGGGUAUACGCGAGAGCGAGAGACGUACGGGACCGCGGCGGGACAACGACGGACGGCGGCACGCGGUGUUCGGGGCGGCGGCGCGAGACGGCGACGACGACGGGCGGCGGCGGGGACAGCGACGAUGACGACGGACGACGGGCGACGGGCGGCGAGGACGGGUUCGAGCGGCGCGCCAGAGGUUGGAGACGAAAGAAGUGGGAAGAUCUAACUGAAUUUUCGUAAGUGUUGUAUAUAUAGGAGAGGCCUUUAGUACCGGUUGGUGGUUCCAACCGGUACUAAAGGAUGGUCUUUAGUACCGGUUGGAGCCACCAACCGGUACUAAAGGCCUCGCGCUGCCAACCCAAAGUUUAGUCCCACCUCGCCGGGCGAAGUGCAGCCGCACUGGUUUAUAAACCCAGCCGCGGCUACCUCUUCGAACUCCUCUAUAUAGCAGACUUCUGGUCCUAAUUAAUUAGGGCGCGCUGCCCUGUGAGCCUGCUGGCCCUUCUGGGCCUGCAUUUGCACACCCUAGGUCUGGCAGGCCCACUGGGCAGCGCGCCAACAAAUUUUUUAUAUAGUUUUUUUCUUUUCUGCAUUAUUUAUUUUCUUCUAUUUAUUUUUGAGUAGUUUUUUAUAUAGUUUUUUCUUUUCUGCAUUAUUUAUUUUCUUNNNNNNNNNNNNNNNNNNNNNNNNNNNNNNNNNNNNNNNNNNNNNNNNNNNNNNNNNNNNNNNNNNNNNNNNNNNNNNNNNNNNNNNNNNNNNNNNNNNNNNNNNNNNNNNNNNNNNNNNNNNNNNNNNNNNNNNNNNNNNNNNNNNNNNNNNNNNNNNNNNNNNNNNNNNNNNNNNNNNNNNNNNNNNNNNNNNNNNNNNNNNNNNNNNNNNNNNUUUUCUUUUGGAAAUUGAAUUUAUUUUUGAGUAUUUUUUUAUAUAGUUUUUUCUUUUCUGCAUUAUUUAUUUUCUUCUAUUUAUUUUUGAGUAAUUUUUUUGUAUAGUUUUUUUAUUUUCUGCAUUAUUUAUUUUCUUCUAUUUAUUUUCUUCUGGAAAUUGAAUGCUGCAUACUGAACAAUUAGGUAAAUGACCGUAAAACAACAAAUAAUGUCAGAACAUGUUGGAAAUUGAUGACGUCGCUUUGAAUGCUGCAUACUGAACACAAAAGAAGUCCGGAGUUCAAAUAAAUUAUUAAAAAUAAAAAAGAGGUGCAAUGCUGGUUAAUUUGCUUCAAGCCAUUCGGAAUAGUGUAGACUGCACUGCACAUAGCUCAGUGCAAUCUAUGCUAUUCCGCAAGGCUUGAAGCUAAUCAACAUGUAGGUGAGCAUUUCAACUCUUCGUCAUUGUCUGUGCACUCAUGGCUUAUAAACCGCUCAUACUGCCUCUCUCUUGGCGAGGUGGGACUAAAAAUCAGCUUACAAAGAAACUCUAGUACCGGUUCAUGGCAUGAACCGGUACUAAAGGUCUUCGUGGGGGCCCCAGACUGACCAUAGCCUGACACAGCCUCAUUAGUACCGGUUCGUGGCAUGAACCGGUACUAAAGGUUACCCACGAACCGGUACUAAUGAUGCCCGCCCGCCUAGCCGUUGGAACCGGCACUAAUGGUCACAUUAGUGCCGGCUCAAAUUCAAACCGGCACUAAUGUGUUUCAUAUUUGACCCUUUUUCUACUAGUGCAGACACAUGUGUAGACGUUUGAGGGGCCAAAUUUGCCCAAUUGUAAAUGCCCUAACAACUCAGGAAGUAUCAAAGGUGCACCACUAUCUAGGAAGAAAAUAUCAAGGUAUGUAGAUGCAAAGUUAUGGGUCACGCCAACUGGAGGAGUGGUGCUAGAUAUGUGGUAUCUAUGUGAAGCUCGCAAGUUUGGAUUUUGCAUGCUUGAAGAUAAUGUACCCAAUUUUUGGUCGUGAUAAAAACAAUUAUUGCAUCAGUCAGUUUCUUUCAAAAUUGAUAUCUUUUAUGAUGUCACGGAAAUAGGUUCUUUUAUGGUGUAUACAUGACUCUCACAUGGAUUUUCUGCUCCUGAGCUCAAAUACACCUGCAUGCACAAUAAUAUUCAAAGAAAAAAAAACAGCAAUCUAAUUACUUAUUUAUGUUGAUAACAUACAUCACUAACAAUCUGUAAAAUUUCACCUAGAAUAGACAUCCAUAGAAGCCUGUAAAAAAACAGACGUGGAGUAUUUGAGCUUGAAGAAAUCAGAAUUUUUUUUGAAAAAAAGUUCAAAAAAAUCUGAUUUUUUUUUGUGAUAAACUUUAACAAAUGUUCUAAGUGCUUGCAAAUUUUCAUCAUGAGAUCACAUUCGAGGAAGGCGUGACAAAAAAACAAAAACAAAGUUCUGAAAAUGUUACUUUCAAAAGCAUUUGGAACACUGAUUUUACAUUGAUUUUUUUUGGCCAUGCCUUCCACGAAUAUGAUCUCUUGAUGAAAAUUUGCAAACACUUAGAACUUAAGUAUACUACAAAAAAAUUCAGAUUUUUUUAAUUGUUUUACAAAUUUACUGCUCAUCCAGGCUCAAAUGAGCUCGAUCUCAAAAGGAUACUUUCCGUAAAAAACAAAAUUCAUGACUCAAAAAGACACAUUUGGAGCACUCAUUUUUUUUAAUUUUUGCACGGACCACUACGGAUGAAUUUUCACGGGGAAUUGCACGAUGUUGGAACACUUGUUCAUGAUUAGAGUAACCCUUUCGUACUUGACUUCCUUUCUCACGCGCCAGUUGGGACCCGUGCUCCCAUACACUAAAAUGGCGUCUACUAGUAGUUUAUCAGGAGUAGGUUUUGGUGCCGUAGUGCCGACAAUCUACGGAUUGUUGGAAAGGAAUCAACCGAGCACAUCACUCAAACAGAUCAAAAACGACGCGACGGUUGAAAGCCUGCAGGUCUCCUCUCACUGUCUCGCGAGUCACUCGCAAGCUUGGAUAAUUUCUGGUCACGUCUCGCCUCACGAUCACAUCACGCAGCUUCUUUUUCUCCGUUCUCGAGCUCUCGGGGUCGCAUGGUGACUCGGGAGUUUGGAUUGUUUCCAGCAUGUAGUACUCCCCUAUGUGGAGAGGACCUUGGCGUAGCCAACUGUUACGAGGGACUGAUCGAGCACUCAUUCCAAAGUUGCAGCACGUCAGCACGGAGAAAGGAAUGAAGCCAUCUGCCCACCCGUGACGCGUCGAUCUCGGCGCGAGGAUCGAGACGGGAAGCAGCGAUUGCACCCCUUCGCGACGUCGUCUUCUUCGAGAGGACGACGUGCCGCCCGGCCUGGACGCGUGUGGCAACGAGAAGCUCGGAGAUGAGAUGUAUACAUACAGAGGAAGCACGCCCUGUGUAGAGAGGAUUUGGAAAUGUUUCUUGCACGAGAGCUCGUUUUUGUUAUAGUCAAUCCAGACAUUAGUUCGAAAGCACAUAAGAUAAAUUUAACAUUCCUUGCAGUAUCAAUAUCAUCGGGUAACCAUUUUUUUUUGCAUCAUCAACAUAACAUCUAAAGCGCCAUCCAAAAAGCCUUUUAACUAUUCCAUGGUGUUUAGCUCUAUCCAUAAUCAUGGUCAGAGGCUCAAAGCAUCAACAAUCAAGUAAAAAAGCAGAGCUGACAGAGAAUAUGUUAGAGGUAAUCUUGAUUGAUAAGAUGUAUACGUGAGGUUCAAGUACUAGUACGUUAGCAAGGUUAGUUUGGCUGGCUGGGUCCGGCUGUAGUUAGGCUAUAGGAUAAUUAGUAGUACUACAACUGCACGAGCAUUGGUACAUGUCCAAGUCAUAGGAGAGUCCGGUCAGGAUCUGUAUCAUGUGUGUCCGUGUAGGUGUAGGACACGGUCUAGUAAGGCUGCGUUGGUUGUGUAUAUAAACAUAGCCAAGCCGUGAGUUUUGUAAUCAUGGGAAAAAGAGAAAAAGAAAAUAAAAAGAGGAGAAACAAAGGGCACGACAAGAGCCCUUGGCUAUAAAAGUUUUGUGCGCGUGUGUUCAUCGUGAUUUGAUGUGAUCGAUCCUGUGGGCAGAAUUCCAACAAUUGGUAUAAGAGCUAGGUCGAUUUGAAGCCGCGCUUGCCCCGGGGUGGCGAUCUGCUAGUGCCUCGGGGUGGGCGAUAUGAUCGCUGGGUGGUGCAGCGGCGAGAAAGAGCAGGCGAUGGAGUCGCUGGGUGAUGCAGCGGCAAGGAGGAACAAGUGAUCGUCGUUCGUCGGAGCGACAUGGAGGGAGACGGCGGGUUGUCGUCGGCAAGGCGGUGGAAGAAGAUCGUUGACGGGAGCGGUGGUGCCGAGGUGCGGUGCCGGAAAGUCGUCAAGAUCGUCUUUCAUGGGAGUUCGAUGAGUCAAGGAGUCGUGCGGGUUAGCACGGUCGGUCGGUUGGUCAGUCAUCGUCGUCGUCAUGUCCAAGUGCUUGUCUCUUUGAGGAGGCGUUGAAGAUGAAGCGUGCCCAGGUCGUCUGUGUGUCUCGACGAGAGGAUCAAGUUCAAGUAUGUGGGGAUGGUAAACUAGUGAAGGUGAGUCUCUUCAAUGAUGCCAUGUCUCUACAUGCGGCUGGAGUGCAUGGUGUAGUGCACGGGGUGGUGUGAUCCACAAGGAGCCGGCAUGUAUCUCGCUAGGGUGGAUGGUGCAGUCUACCGGGUGGGGUUUUCCACAGGUUACUGGCGAGGCUGGGUAGUCCAAAGCAUAUUUGAGGUGGUCCGUAAAUUCGCCAAGUCGAAAUUGAAGGGGAGAUUGUUGCGAGCAAUCGGGAUCAUCAAUUUGAUUUGUCGUGGUGCGAGCGGAUGAGCGAUAAGGGGUGAUCUACAACGAGCCAAGACUGGAGAAGCACAGAAGACAUAAAGUCAAGAUUAGGAAGAGAUUGUUAGAGGUAAUCUUGAUUGAUAAGAUGUAUACGUGAGGUCCAAGUACUAGUACGUUAGCAAGGUUAGUUUGGCUGAUUGGGUCCGGCUGUAGUUAGGCUAUAGGAUAAUUAGUAGUACUACAACUGCACAAGCAUUGGUACAUGUCCAAGUCAUAGGAGAGUCCGGUCAGGAUCUGUAUCAUGUGUGUCCGUGUAGGUGUAGGACACGGUCUAGUAAGGCUGCGUUGGUUGUGUAUAUAAACAUAACCAAGCCGUGAGUUUUGUAACCAUGGGAAAAAGAGAAAAAGAAAAUAAAAAGAGGAGAAACAAAGGGCACGACAAGAGCCCUUGGCUAUAAAAGUUUUGUGCGCAUGUGUUCAUCGUGAUUUGAUGUGAUCGAUCCUGUGGGCAGAAUUCUAACAGAAUACCUCUGUCUUAGGCCCUUAUGAUCGAGUUAGAAAAUAUGGUCCAACAAAGUCAUUUACUUUGAUCCCAACAUAACCCCUUCUCAUAGUGCUCAUGACCCAAUCACACUGUAAAUCAGGGAAUCAUUCAAGAGAAAGCAUUCAAUAAACAAAAAGACCAUUUUAUUUUAUCAUAUGUUUUGUCAAAGUCAACUUUGAGAAGCCAUGCAUUCAUUUCUCCUUAUGUAUAGUGUUAAGGACUUCAUGAAAGAUAAUCACACGCACUUGCCCAGCCGUGUCGGUCGCUCGAUUGCCUCGCAAUUCACAAAGUCGUUGGAUCCCGCACGAGGUCACGGUCAGUUCUAAGCUUCGGUUUCUUUUUGUCGGUCACAAGGGAGAAACUUAUGAUUUUGUCGCUCACUCAUACCAAGUUUCAGAAGUUGGAACUUAACAAAAUUGUAAAAUUCAUCAAGACAAAAUGGAUCUCAUUUCAAAGCCUCGUUGUGAGAAACACGAAUAUGCAAACAAAAUUUGAUUUACACUUUAUUCAAAGGCCAGUACUACAAAUCAACCAGCUGAUGCCACGGGUAGUUAAGCCGCCUCGCUGGCCGUUUGAUCAGCCCCGAUCGCACCAUUGGAUCCCUUCCGUCAGACACUUUGAAGUGUCAACGCGCACAUGAUCCUCUCCUCACACCGCACAACAGCUUCCUUCGUCCUUCAGUCUCGCAACAUGUCGUGGUAUUCUCACGGAGGGGGGGGGUGCAAGACGACAUAUGCCACAAGGUAGCUUCGUGUGAGGGCAAGACUGCUGCCGGAAUAUCCAGGGACGGGUAUGCGAGUAUCACGUGCUAGUUUACCCAGGUUCGGGGCUCUCCGAAGAGAUAACACCCCUACUCCUGCAUGUCUGAGUAUAUCUGGUAUAUCUGGUACAGAGUGCUCAUGGAGCUAUAUCUGAAAGCAGUGCCACAGGCAUCUGGUUUCAUAUAUGCGAGUAUGUGGCAUGCUCUAGUGGCCGACCAUGCUCAUGGCUCAUGUCCGUGAGCAUGUGUAUGCUCAUGCGGGUGUGUGGACGGCUUGCUAGCUAGCUUGCUUGUGCGUGUGCGUGAGUGUGUGAGUCCAUCCCCUGAUGGAUGGAUGUGUGCCUAUAUAUAUAGGAGUUGGCAUGGGUGGUAGUGGCUUUGGUUGUAAGCUACCUUGGGUAGCUUACAAGCCAAGCUAUGUAGGCAUGGCUAGUGGCAUGGUGCAUGUCAUGCUUGUCCCCUGGGGCACUUUAUAAAUCAGUACCCAGGGGACACAGUACACUGUAGAUGGCGUCGCGGUAUGGUCGUCCCGUCGGUGUCUCGUCAGACUGCAGUUGACUUCGGGCAGUCGGCCUGACGGAGGAGUUGGCAGCCAGCAGUCGGCCUGGUGGAGGAGUCGGCAGCCAGCAGUCGGCCUGGUGGAGGAGUCGGCAGCCAGCAGUCGGCCGGGUGGAGCAGUCAGCAGCCAGCAGUCGGCAGCCAGCAGUCGGCCUGGUGGAGCAGUCAGCAGCCAGCAGUCAGCCGCCAGCCAGGCAGUUGGACUGAGGGGCUUUGCUAGCCCCGAUGUCUUGAAUUCUUGUCUCGCCGUCUUCGGGGUAUCCGUGUUCAAUUACUCCGACACAACACCCUGCGGCGCCGGCGACAUUCAGUGCAGUGAUAAAACAACGGCACGGUGGCGCUCCAUUGAAACACCGACAGCUCGAUGAAGCUUCAUCGCAACCUCGGCGGCCCCCGGCGAAGCCCAUUGCAGCACUGGUUGGCCCCUAACGAACCUUCAUUGCAGCAUUGAACGACCUCGAUGGAGCUUCAUCGCAACACCUGCGCCCCCGGCGAAACUCCAUCGUAGCGCCGGCGUCCCGACGCGGCGGUGCUCCAUUGCAGCAUCGACGUCGCCGUCACAGCUCCCAUCGCAACGCCGGUGUCCCCACGCGGCGGUGCUCCAUUGCAGCUUCGAUGCUGUCUGGUCGUCAUCGCAACUCCCAUCGCAGCACCGGCGACCGCUCUCUAGAGAUUGCAUCUUUGUGAUGCGUUGCAGCACCGUGCGGGGAUUGCGCCCGCCUCGGGCCUUUUAUCUACCCGUUGCGUUACAGCUCCGACGGUGAAGCGGGCAGCCCCUCCUGGCAACUGCGUGGAGGGCGGUUCCGCGGUGGUCGAGAGGGGCGCGGGAGCGGCGUGGGGCUGGCAGCGCGGCUGCUGGCGCGAUGAGCCGUGUGUGGCCACCGUGUCGGGCUUCUCUAGCUUGGCCAGAUCUUGCCGCCGAGGCUGCGGGUGGCACAGGGGACUCCCGUCAUUCCUCCGAUGCUGGUACGCUGCGGCGGCCCCAGGCUGCGGUGGACUCGCCCUCCUCUUUUCGGAGCGGAGGCACGACAAGGUGGAUGGUCGACAUCAUGCGGCGGCUCUGCAUUUCCCUGGCCGUGAGGGUGGCGGGGCUGUAGCGGGUGGAUGCAGGUCUUGGUCUUCCUCGACCAGGGGCUGCGGUGGUCUCGCCGGUCGGCGGCACGACGGCAUCCGACCCCCCCCCCCUUCUCCAUGGUGAUGGCCCAAGGUGGCAACUUUGCCCUACCUUCCAGUUUGCCGCGCUUCAGAUUUUGAUGGACAAGGCUAAGGAGAAAUUCAACAUGGUUGCGGCUGCGGGCAAGGACGACGCCUGUGGGCGCCGUCUCCUCCUUGGGGGCGUUUUCAUGGCCAUGUCCAUCCCCUGUUUUGUCACCGGGGAAACCCUAGGCUCGGUUCGUCGGGCCGGGCAGCGGCGACGUCUCGGCGCCAUCCCCUUCUUGGAGGCGCUGCCUAGGUUCUCGGGGUGCGUCAGGAGCUACUGGUGGGCUGCCUCGAUCGCCUCAGCGGCGAGUCUUGGGGUGCCAAGUUGUCAUUUGCGGGUUGUUGGUGUGGACAGGAGCAUCCGGGGCACUAUGUACUCCAUCAUCGGCACCUCUUCGACGGCGUCUUCGAGUCAGGCUAGCUCUCGGUUUCUGCCUGCCGAUCCUCUAGGCAUCGAGGGUGGAGAGUGUGUUGAUGUAGUUUGGUUAGGUGUUUUUGUCGUGUUUUGAGGUGUUUGAUUCAGGAGGACGCGGCCUAUGUGUUUUGUGUCCGUCCUCUUCAUCAUUGUUUGGCUUGAGUACAGGCAAGGGGGGUUAGUUGUCUAUGUUGUCACGGUGGAUGUGGGUGCUAACCUCGCUGGGUAAUACGUUGCCGAAAGGCGUUGUAUCAGCCGUCUUGACUCUUCUUCUUUAAUAUAUAGUACGCACAUUUGUGCGUAUUCGAAAGAGAAAAAACUGUGUUGCAGUAAUUCGCGAGCAGCUCUGAUUCCCGGUUUGCUUGUUACAUCGCAGCGGUGUGCAGGGGAGAUGAAGCAAACCGUGGUCGCCGUCGUUCUCCCACUUCACAACAAUGGUGGGUGGGGGGUCGCGUCGCCAUGGGAGCUCUGUCCUCUCCCUCCCAGCAUGAGGACCGGAGUGGGAAGGGGAAAGAGAUGAAUGGACGAUAGCUCGUGCGAAAAGGUGGGGAGAUAAGCCUUGACCGAAAAAAGCAGCGGUGGCUGAUGGGUCCACAUGGCACGUGUCCAUCAAGGGACCAGGCUUGCAUUUGGAUGUUACCAUUCGAUUUAGAAUAAACAUAUUCCUUGUUCAAAAGAUAUGAAAGAUUGAAAAUGGAAAAUAAUAGGAUUGACUACAGUUUUCAGUCUAUGCAUCAGAAUCUUAGUGGAAGUUUUAAAGCUAACAUUCAAAAGACAGGUAGCCCCGAACUUCUAACUCUGUUUGGCAUCCUUGGUUUUAUGGAUCAAGGUUAUAAUUAAUACCAUAGUUGGGUCUAGAAAUAUAUAGCCUGCCUUCAUGGAGCUCCCAAUUUAAUAAGCUCCCAAUUUUUAUUUUUAUUUAAAAAAAAUCAGUGGGUAUCAGCGUAUCAGGGGCUUCUUUUCUUCAACGGCACACCCGUGCCUAUACAGUAGCGAUCGACGGCAGCUGAUUUGUUUGCCAUCUCCAAACACGUCCCUGCGCCGACGACGCACUGCCGUGACACCCAGUGCACCUGCGUGGAAGCGCCACCAAAGCUCGGCGCCUAUAAAAAGCAGCAUCGCACCAUGCUACUCCCAACUAAGCUCACGCAAACACAACUACUCCCCAGUGGCCAGCAACUCUGAACCUCCCGGACCAAGUUAGCAAUGGCAAAGCGCCUCGCCGUCGCGCUCCUGCUGCUGGUCCUGCUCGCGUCCAGCGACGCCGGUGCUGCUGCCCGUGCUGCUAGUGGCGUCGGCGAGAAGAAGGCUCUGGUGCCCGGGGUGGACCUCCCUCUCCCUGGGCUCCCUGGGCUGCCUGGGCUCCCUGGGCUCCCUGGCCUGCCGGGGCUCCCUGGGCUCCCUCCCGUUCCCAAAUCCACCGCCACCAAUAAGUCUCCAUGAUCGU
RNAcentral lists this long non-coding RNA (34815 nucleotides) under Triticum aestivum (bread wheat). RNAcentral describes it as "long non-coding RNA (TAES_LNC021326)". The record is from RNAcentral. Lineage: Eukaryota; Viridiplantae; Streptophyta; Magnoliopsida; Poales; Poaceae.